UACGUAGGGGGCAAGCGUUGUCCGGAUUUAUUGGGCGUAAAGAGCGUGUAGGCGGUUUGGUAGGUCCGUUGUGAAAACUCGAGGCUCAACCUCGAGACGCCGAUGGAAACCAUCAGACUAGAGUCCGGAAGAGGAGAGUGGAAUUCCUGGUGUAGCGGUGAAAUGCGCAGAUAUCAGGAAGAACACCUGUGGCGAAAGCGGCGCACUGGACCGCAACUGACGCUGAGGCGCGAAAGCUAGGGGAGCAAACAGG
Molecule: ribosomal RNA, 253 nt
Filed under: uncultured bacterium
Lineage: Bacteria
Description: partial 16S ribosomal RNA
Rfam family: Bacterial small subunit ribosomal RNA
Source: RNAcentral